This 229-nucleotide small nucleolar RNA is filed under the name Scheffersomyces stipitis CBS 6054. The record is from RNAcentral. Lineage: Eukaryota; Fungi; Ascomycota; Pichiomycetes; Serinales; Debaryomycetaceae.
AACUUUGUCCAAAAGUAAUCCAUCACUUAGACAGUGCAUUGUAAUGGACUCUAAGAGGCUGCCCAGGGCACCCUACCAGUUUUUGGUAGGUCUGUCCUCUCGAGUGCAGUUUCUGGGGUCGACUCUAUCAUUUUAAAAUGCGAUGUGUUGAUGGAAAGAGCGAUUUGAAUCUUUAAGAACCUGUCUGGAAGUUAUGAUGAAAGAGAGGUGUCAGAUGAUCCAUAUAUUU